Molecule: ribosomal RNA, 433 nt
Filed under: uncultured bacterium
Lineage: Bacteria
Description: partial 16S ribosomal RNA
Rfam family: Bacterial small subunit ribosomal RNA
Source: RNAcentral
AGCGAACGCUGGCGGCAGGCCUAACACAUGCAAGUCGAACGAACUCUUCGGAGUUAGUGGCGGACGGGUGAGUAACACGUGGGAACGUGCCUUUAGGUUCGGAAUAACUCAGGGAAACUUGUGCUAAUACCGAAUGUGCCCUUCGGGGGGAAGAUUUAUCGCCUUUAGAGCGGCCCGCGUCUGAUUAGCUAGUUGGUGAGGUAAAGGCUCACCAAGGCGACGAUCAGUAGCUGGUCUGAGAGGAUGAUCAGCCACAUUGGGACUGAGACACGGCCCAAACUCCUACGGGAGGCAGCAGUGGGGAAUCUUGCGCAAUGGGCGAAAGCCUGACGCAGCCAUGCCGCGUGAAUGAUGAAGGUCUUAGGAUUGUAAAAUUCUUUCACCGGGGACGAUAAUGACGGUACCCGGAGAAGAAGCCCCGGCUAACUUCGUG